This 2342-nucleotide long non-coding RNA is filed under the name Homo sapiens (human). Its description in RNAcentral is "HSALNT0346881". The record is from RNAcentral. Lineage: Eukaryota; Metazoa; Chordata; Mammalia; Primates; Hominidae.
GUAUGUGUUCCAAAAUUAUGAGAAACCCCUGUAAUUCUGAUAUGACUUGGUAUAUGUUUUGAGGAAUAAAUAUAAUUGUUAUGUUAAAUUGUUGUGUACCACAGAAGUAACCAAAUUUUCUUAUCAAUUUUGUCUUUGAUUGUGACUGCCCUAAGACUUCUUGUCAUCCAUAGACAAUUGUUUUCUUAUUUUGAUCCUCCUUCAAAAGACAGUUUAUAAUUAGCGAUACCACUCUCAUGAGUACUCCUAAACAUAGUCUGUGAUAAUUUUGGAAAGUGUGCUAUUAAAAUAAAGAGGAAAGAACUUCCAAGAUUCUCUUGGAAAACGAAUGUGUUCACAAAUGUCGAGCAAAACAGGAAUUAACUGCAUAGGCUAAACUAAUAAAAGGCCAAAGUAAUCUUUUUAUGACUUUUUGUUUAAAACAUUGCUGAUCCUUUCUGUUUUGGUUUUCAGAGUCAAGAAAACUUUUUUCUUUUUAGCUAUUUAUGGCUUUUAGCAGUUAAGUAAAGUAUACUCCUAUAAAUAAAUUUUGGAGCAUAUCUCUCUCCACCUGAUUUUUCCAGAAUUUGGAAACUAUUUGCUUUGACUGGAAUGGCAUGCUUUCACAUAUAAACAUCCUGCUCUAAGGAAUCAAAGUUGACUUAUAGAGCUAAUAAAAGCCCCUUGGAAAAACUAGCUUCAUACCUUGCCUAUGCAUUCCCUGUACAGGAUUCUUGACCUGUGGCUAGAGGUGAACACUUAACCAUGAGUAGAAGCUCUGGAGAUGAAAAAGUAUUAGAAAAACACAGAUAACAAAGAAUCAACAGAGCGCUUGGAUAUUUAUGUUCAUGGCAUGUGUAUAUAUUUUACAUGUAUCAAGAUUAAGACAAAAAGGUUGCCCCCUUCAGCAUGUCGAGUCAUGUGAGGGUGGCUACCCUCUGGGGCUGCAGCUUUCUCACUUUGGAAGACUUAUGAGUUUUUUCCUGUGCCCUGUACAGUGAAGAACAAAGAAACUAGUGACAGUUUGAUGAGAAACAGAUAUACACAUAGCUUCAAAGAAUCUCUCCAUAAAGUACUUAUUCAUUAUAAAAGGAAAAAAAUAAUUUCAUAGGGAAGAAACCUGGUGGAUGACAUCUUAAUCAAGUGAUCAAAGUUACCACCACGACUAAUGACACAAACCAACAUUAUAUGCCUCCUGAUGUGAUGUGACAUGCUAGAAAGAAAACAACAUCAUUUAUACGGUAUUUCUGCCAGAGAAACAUAAUCUGCAUUUUCAUGUUAAAGUGAAGUCGAUUAUACAUAGCAUUGUUAAAAGUGAUUUUGGAGUUUUUCUCUUCAUACAAUUUUAAGGUUGUAAAGUUGACAGUCUGUUUUUAAUUCACUUUUACAAGUUGUAAAUGUUUUGCAAAUAUGUUUCUUUCCUGUAAGAUUUAUUUCUUAGCUGGUUAACCUAGACAAAUUGAUUUCCCAGAGGUUACUUUGUUUAAUGUUAUGGUACCUAUACACUAAAUAAUCUAUAAGGAUAAGACAAUAUACUUUGAUGUUUAUUUUACAUAUUUAUAAACAUUUUUGACUCAAAUUAUGAAAAAGUUUUUCCUAAAAUUUUCUAGUGGAUGUGCUGUCUCUUAACAUUCUCCUUAGCUGUCAAUUGAUUUCCUUGUUUAACUAUUUUAAAGUUCUUUAUAAUAGUUGUUAUUCAUAAAUCAAGUGCUUUUACUCUUACAAUAAAAAUAUACACUUAUAUUUCCACUCACAAUGCACUUAAAGAAAACUUUCAGUCCUGGUUACAUUUAAAAUAGUUACCUACAUUUAUUUUAUAUUGACAAUAUCUGAAUCAAAAACCCACUGAUAGCAUCUACUAAAGCUGAACAUUCACACAUUGCAUGAAAUAGGAAAGGAGGGCUUAUGUCCUCCAAUAGGUGUGUUCAUAGCAGUUUAGUAUAAAAUCCCCAAACUGCCUAUCAACAGUAGUGUCUCUCAAUAGGAGAAUGUAUAAGGACAUUUUAGUAUACUUAUACAAUCAAGCAGUGGAAAAAAAUAAACUAUUGCUUUAUGCACCAACAUGGAUAAAUAUCACAGACCUAUUGAUAAAUGAAAGAAGUCAGAAAUGAAAAGGCUGAAAAUUGUAUGAGCCAUGUAUGUGAAAAUCAAGAACAGACAAAACCAAUCUACAGUGACAGAUGUCAGAAUGAUGGUUACCUUUAGAGUUUAUUGAGUGCAAGAAUAUGGGUGUAGCCUUCUGGGAUGUUGAAAAUAUUCUCUAUGUUGAUUUGGGUAUGGCUUAAAAGGAUUUAUGCAUGUCUAGAAAGUUAUCAAGCUGUGCAAUUAAGACCUAUGUAUUUUAUUAUAUGUAAUCUAUACCA